GACGAACGCUGGCGGCGUGCUUAACACAUGCAAGUCGAACGGAAAGGCCCUGCUUUUGUGUGGUGCUCGAGUGGCGAACGGGUGAGUAACACGUGAGUAACCUGCCCUUGACUUUGGGAUAACUUCAGGAAACUGGGGCUAAUACCGGAUAGGAGCUCCUGCUGCAUGGUGGGGGUUGGAAAGUUUCGGCGGUUGGGGAUGGACUCGCGGCUUAUCAGCUUGUUGGUGGGGUAGUGGCUUACCAAGGCUUUGACGGGUAGCCGGCCUGAGAGGGUGACCGGCCACAUUGGGACUGAGAUACGGCCCAGACUCCUACGGGAGGCAGCAGUGUGGAAUAUUGCACAAUGGGCGGAAGCCUGAUGCAGCAACGCCGCGUGCGGGAUGACGGCCUUCGGGUUGUAAACCGUUUUCGCCUGUGACGAAGCGUGAGUGACGGUAAUGGGUAAAGAAGCACCGGCUAACUACGUG
Molecule: ribosomal RNA, 468 nt
Filed under: uncultured bacterium
Lineage: Bacteria
Description: partial 16S ribosomal RNA
Rfam family: Bacterial small subunit ribosomal RNA
Source: RNAcentral